GUGUGGCAUGAAAGGAGAGAAGGUUAGUAUUCACCUUGCUAAGGAUGGAAAAGGUCCUGCUGAUCUUUACAACACAUAUGAUUAAGACUUUGCCACUAAAUGCCCUGUGGCAUUUAACCAUAGUUGAUU
Trichosurus vulpecula (common brushtail) is the source of this 129-nucleotide small nuclear RNA. NCBI's taxonomy places the organism in Eukaryota, Metazoa, Chordata, Mammalia, Diprotodontia, Phalangeridae. The record is from RefSeq and is a predicted model, not a curated record.